GCCAGGCGCAGUGGUGUGUGCCUGUAGUCCCAGCUACUCGAGAGGCUGAGGCUGGAGGAUUGCUUGAGUUCAAGAGAUCUGGGCUGUAAUGUGCUAUGCCAAUUGGGUGUCUGCACUAAGUUCAGCAUCAAUAUGAUGACCUCCUGGGAGUAGGGGACCACCAGGUUGCCUAAGGAGGGCUAAACUGGCCCAGGUCGGAAAUGGAGGAGGUCAAAACUCCUGGGCUUAUCAGUAGUGGGAUCUCGCCUGUGAAUAGCCACUGUGCUACAGCCUGAGCAAUAUAGCGAGACCUCAUCUCU
This 299-nucleotide signal recognition particle RNA is filed under the name Saimiri boliviensis boliviensis (Bolivian squirrel monkey). RNAcentral's name for it is "Metazoan signal recognition particle RNA (ENSSBOG00000002258.1)". It matches the Rfam family "Metazoan signal recognition particle RNA". Rfam says of the family: The signal recognition particle (SRP) is a universally conserved ribonucleoprotein. It is involved in the co-translational targeting of proteins to membranes. The record is from RNAcentral. Lineage: Eukaryota; Metazoa; Chordata; Mammalia; Primates; Cebidae.